UACGGAGGGUGCAAGCGUUAAUCGGAAUUACUGGGCGUAAAGGGUGCGUAGGUGGUUUGAUAAGUUAGCUGUGAAAUUCCUGGGCUCAACCUGGGGUGGUCAGCUAAGACUGUUAGACUUUGAGUAUGGGAGAGGGUAGUGGAAUUUCCGGUGUAGCGGUGAAAUGCGUAGAGAUCGGAAGGAACACCAGUGGCGAAGGCGGCUACCUGGCCUAAUACUGACACUGAGGCACGAAAGCGUGGGGAGCAAACGGG
Molecule: ribosomal RNA, 254 nt
Filed under: uncultured bacterium
Lineage: Bacteria
Description: partial 16S ribosomal RNA
Rfam family: Bacterial small subunit ribosomal RNA
Source: RNAcentral